GAUGAAGAACGCAGCGAAAUGCGAUAAGUAAUGUGAAUUGCAGAAUUCAGUGAAUCAUCGAAUCUUUGAACGCACAUUGCGCCCGCCAGUAUUCUGGCGGGCAUGCCUGUUCGAGCGUCAUUACAACCCUCAGGCCCCCGGGCCUGGCGUUGGGGAUCGGCGGAGCCCCCCGUGGGCACACGCCGUCCCCCAAAUGCAGUGGCGGUCCCGCCGCAGCUUCCAUCGCGUAGUAGCUAACACCUCGCGACUGGAGAGCGGCGCGGCCACGCCGUAAAACACCCAACUCUUCUGAAGUUGACCACGAAUCAGGUAGGAAUACCCGCUGAACUUAAGCAUAUCAAUAAGCGGAGGA
Molecule: unclassified non-coding RNA, 352 nt
Filed under: soil metagenome
Description: partial contains 5.8S ribosomal RNA, internal transcribed spacer 2, and large subunit ribosomal RNA
Rfam family: 5.8S ribosomal RNA (bases 1-120)
Source: RNAcentral